RNAcentral lists this ribosomal RNA (265 nucleotides) under uncultured Thauera sp. RNAcentral describes it as "partial 16S ribosomal RNA". It matches the Rfam family "Bacterial small subunit ribosomal RNA", at positions 1110 to 1382 of the family's 1533-position model. The record is from RNAcentral. Lineage: Bacteria; Pseudomonadati; Pseudomonadota; Betaproteobacteria; Rhodocyclales; Zoogloeaceae.
AUUAGUUGCUACGCAAGGGCACUCUAAUGAGACUGCCGGUGACAAACCGGAGGAGGUGGGGAUGACGUCAAGUCCUCAUGGCCCUUAUGGGUAGGGCUUCACACGUCAUACAAUGGUCGGUACAGAGGGUUGCCAAGCCGCGAGGUGGAGCCAAUCCCUUAAAGCCGAUCGUAGUCCGGAUCGUAGUCUGCAACUCGACUACGUGAAGUCGGAAUCGCUAGUAAUCGCAGAUCAGCAUGCUGCGGUGAAUACGUUCCCGGGUCUU